RNAcentral lists this ribosomal RNA (460 nucleotides) under uncultured bacterium. Its description in RNAcentral is "partial 16S ribosomal RNA". It matches the Rfam family "Bacterial small subunit ribosomal RNA", at positions 338 to 795 of the family's 1533-position model. The record is from RNAcentral.
CCUACGGGAGGCAGCAGUGAGGAAUAUUGGUCAAUGGGCGGGAGCCUGAACCAGCCAAGUCGCGUGCGGGAAGACGGUCCUAUGGAUUGUAAACCUCUUUAGGCGGGGAGCAAUGCCGGGCACGCGUGCCCGGAGGGAGAGUACCCGCCGAAUAAGCAUCGGCUAACUCCGUGCCAGCAGCCGCGGUAAUACGGAGGAUGCGAGCGUUAUCCGGAUUGAUUGGGUUUAAAGGGUGCGUAGGCGGAUUUUUAAGUCAGCGGUAAAAUGUCCGGGCUCAACCCGGGCCGGCCGUUGAAACUGGGGAUCUUGAGUGGGCGAGAAGUAUGCGGAAUGCGUGGUGUAGCGGUGAAAUGCAUAGAUAUCACGCAGAACUCCGAUUGCGAAGGCAGCAUACCGGCGCCCGACUGACGCUGAGGCACGAAAGCGUGGGGAUCGAACAGGAUUAGAUACCCCAGUAGUC